This 254-nucleotide ribosomal RNA is filed under the name uncultured bacterium. RNAcentral's name for it is "partial 16S ribosomal RNA". It matches the Rfam family "Bacterial small subunit ribosomal RNA", at positions 524 to 776 of the family's 1533-position model. The record is from RNAcentral.
UACGGGGGGGGCAAGCGUUGUUCGGAAUUACUGGGCGUAAAGGGCGCGUAGGCGGCCUGCUAAGUCGGACGUGAAAUCCCUCGGCUCAACCGGGGAACUGCGUCCGAUACUGGCGAGGCUUGAAUCCGGGAGAGGGAUGUGGAAUUCCAGGUGUAGCGGUGAAAUGCGUAGAUAUCUGGAGGAACACCGGUGGCGAAGGCGGCAUCCUGGACCGGUAUUGACGCUGAGGCGCGAAAGCUAGGGGAGCAAACGGG